CGGCGGACGGGUGAGUAAUGCCUAGGAAUCUGCCUGGUAGUGGGGGACAACGUUUCGAAAGGAACGCUAAUACCGCAUACGUCCUACGGGAGAAAGCAGGGACCUUCGGGCCUUGCGCUAUCAGAUGAGCCUAGGUCGGAUUAGCUAGUUGGUGAGGUAAUGGCUCACCAAGGCGACGAUCCGUAACUGGUCUGAGAGGAUGGUCAGCCACACUGGAACUGAGACACGGUCCAGACUCCUACGGGAGGCAGCAGGA
This 256-nucleotide ribosomal RNA is filed under the name uncultured Pseudomonas sp. RNAcentral's name for it is "partial 16S ribosomal RNA". It matches the Rfam family "Bacterial small subunit ribosomal RNA", at positions 96 to 354 of the family's 1533-position model. Lineage: Bacteria; Pseudomonadati; Pseudomonadota; Gammaproteobacteria; Pseudomonadales; Pseudomonadaceae. The record is from RNAcentral.